AACGCAUAUUGCGCUCUCUGGUAUUCCGGAGAGCAUGCUUGUUUGAGUAUCAGUAACCACCUCACAUUCUUUUUUUCUUGUAAAAAAAGGAUUGGACUUGAGCGAUCCCAACGCGUCUGAAUUCAUUCGGGCGCGGCGGGUUGCUUGAAAUGCAGGUGCAGCUGGAUUUUUAUUCUGAGCUAAAAGCAUAUUUAUUUAGUCCCGUCAAAAGGAUUAUUACUUUUUGCUGCAGCUAAUAUAAAGGAACAUUAAUCCUCAUGCUGACUGAUGCAGGAAUUUUCUUGUCGAUGUUUCUUUUAACUUGUUAAGAGAAAAAUCAGCAAGAAAACAAAACUCGAUCUCAAAUCAAGCAAGAUUACCCGCUGAACUUAA
Molecule: unclassified non-coding RNA, 372 nt
Filed under: Cladophialophora sp.
Lineage: Eukaryota; Fungi; Ascomycota; Eurotiomycetes; Chaetothyriales; Herpotrichiellaceae
Also listed under: 1 other name
Description: partial contains 5.8S ribosomal RNA, internal transcribed spacer 2, and large subunit ribosomal RNA
Rfam family: 5.8S ribosomal RNA (bases 1-52)
Source: RNAcentral